Molecule: ribosomal RNA, 469 nt
Filed under: uncultured Curtobacterium sp.
Lineage: Bacteria; Bacillati; Actinomycetota; Actinomycetes; Micrococcales; Microbacteriaceae
Description: bacterial SSU rRNA
Rfam family: Bacterial small subunit ribosomal RNA
Source: RNAcentral
UUGACGGGGCCCGCACAAGCGGCGGAGCAUGCGGAUUAAUUCGAUGCAACGCGAAGAACCUUACCAAGGCUUGACAUACACCGGUAACGCCCAGAGAUGGGUGCCCCUUUGUGGUCGGUGUACAGGUGGUGCAUGGUUGUCGUCAGCUCGUGUCGUGAGAUGUUGGGUUAAGUCCCGCAACGAGUGCAACCCUCGUCCUAUGUUGCCAGCGGGUCAUGCCGGGGACUCAUGGGAGACUGCCGGGGUCAACUCGGAGGAAGUGGGAUGACGUCAAAUCAUCAUGCCCCUUAUGUCUUGGGCUUCACGCAUGCUACAAUGGCCGGUACAAAGGGCUGCGAUACCGCGAGGUGGAGCGAAUCCCAGAAAGCCGGUCUCAGUUCGGAUUGGGGUCUGCAACUCGACCCCAUGAAGUCGGAGUCGCUAGUAAUCGCAGAUCAGCAACGCUGCGGUGAAUACGUUCCCGGGCCUU